RNAcentral lists this ribosomal RNA (638 nucleotides) under uncultured Lachnospiraceae bacterium. Its description in RNAcentral is "bacterial SSU rRNA". It matches the Rfam family "Bacterial small subunit ribosomal RNA", at positions 94 to 750 of the family's 1533-position model. Lineage: Bacteria; Bacillati; Bacillota; Clostridia; Lachnospirales; Lachnospiraceae. The record is from RNAcentral.
AGUGGCGGACGGGUGAGUAACGCGUGGGUAACCUGCCUUAUACAGGGGGAUAACAGUUAGAAAUGGCUGCUAAUACCGCAUAAGACCACAGUACUGCAUGGUACAGUGGUAAAAACUCCGGUGGUAUGAGAUGGACCCGCGUCUGAUUAGGUAGUUGGUGAGGUAACGGCCCACCAAGCCGACGAUCAGUAGCCGACCUGAGAGGGUGACCGGCCACAUUGGGACUGAGACACGGCCCAGACUCCUACGGGAGGCAGCAGUGGGGAAUAUUGCACAAUGGGCGAAAGCCUGAUGCAGCGACGCCGCGUGAAGGAUGAAGUAUUUCGGUAUGUAAACUUCUAUCAGCAGGGAAGAAAAUGACGGUACCUGACUAAGAAGCCCCGGCUAACUACGUGCCAGCAGCCGCGGUAAUACGUAGGGGGCAAGCGUUAUCCGGAUUUACUGGGUGUAAAGGGAGCGUAGACGGCUGUGCAAGUCUGAAGUGAAAGGCAUGGGCUCAACCUGUGGACUGCUUUGGAAACUGUGCAGCUAGAGUGUCGGAGAGGUAAGUGGAAUUCCUAGUGUAGCGGUGAAAUGCGUAGAUAUUAGGAGGAACACCAGUGGCGAAGGCGGCUUACUGGACGAUGACUGACGUUGAG